This is a non-coding RNA of Brassica napus (rape), 107 nucleotides long. Lineage: Eukaryota; Viridiplantae; Streptophyta; Magnoliopsida; Brassicales; Brassicaceae. The record is from Rfam.
AAACCAUGACGAGGGCAUUGAGACCAAUAGCCCUUGAACCUCUCCAAUGCUUCACUGAAACUCUCUAGACCUUUCCGUUGAAAUCCAGAGAUUUCGUUCCUGAUCUU